AGCAGCCGCGGUAAUUCCAGCUCCAAUAGCGUAUAUUAAAGUUGUUGCAGUUAAAAAGCUCGUAGUUGAAUUUUGGAUUCUGCCUAUUGGUCCGUCUUUUAGAUGAGUACUGAUAGUGUAGGGUCUAUCCGCCUGAUGAUACGGAAUGUUCUUUAUUGAAUGUUGCGGGUAGUCAGGACUUUUACCUUGAAAAAUUAGAGUGUUUAAAGCAGGCAUAUGCCGGAAUACAUUAGCAUGGAAUAAUAGAAUAGGACGAAGUUGUUUUAUUUUGUUGGUUUCUAGGACAACCGUAAUGAUUAAUAGGGAUAGUUGGGGGCAUUAGUAUUCAAUUGUCAGAGGUGAAAUUCUUGGAUUUAUUGAAGACUAACUACUGCGAAAGCAUUUGCCAAGGAUGUUUUCAUUAAUCAAGAACGAAAGUUAGGGGAUCGAAGACGAUCAGAUACCGUCGUAGUCUUAACCAUAAACUAUGCCGACUAGGGAUCGGGCGAUGUUGUUUCCAUGACUCGCUCGGCACCGUU
Molecule: ribosomal RNA, 518 nt
Filed under: uncultured Glomeromycotina
Lineage: Eukaryota; Fungi; Glomeromycota
Description: SSU rRNA
Rfam family: Eukaryotic small subunit ribosomal RNA
Source: RNAcentral